RNAcentral lists this ribosomal RNA (431 nucleotides) under uncultured bacterium. RNAcentral's name for it is "bacterial SSU rRNA". It matches the Rfam family "Bacterial small subunit ribosomal RNA", at positions 960 to 1391 of the family's 1533-position model. The record is from RNAcentral.
CGCGAAGAACCUUACCAGGUCUUGACAUCCUUUGACCACCUAAGAGAUUAGGCUUUCCCUUCGGGGACAAAGUGACAGGUGGUGCAUGGCUGUCGUCAGCUCGUGUCGUGAGAUGUUGGGUUAAGUCCCGCAACGAGCGCAACCCUUAUUGUUAGUUGCCAUCAUUCAGUUGGGCACUCUAGCGAGACUGCCGCAGACAAUGCGGAGGAAGGUGGGGAUGACGUCAAAUCAUCAUGCCCCUUAUGACCUGGGCUACACGCGUGCUACAAUGGAGAGUACAACGAGUUGCGAAGUCGUGAGGCUAAGCUAAUCUCUUAAAAGCUCUUCUCAGUUCGGAUUGUAGGCUGCAACUCGCCUACAUGAAGCCGGAAUCGCUAGUAAUCGCGGAUCAGCACGCCGCGGUGAAUACGUUCCCGGGUCUUGUACACACC